This is a non-coding RNA of Pelobates cultripes (western spadefoot toad), 167 nucleotides long. Lineage: Eukaryota; Metazoa; Chordata; Amphibia; Anura; Pelobatidae. The record is from the annotation of a GenBank genome assembly.
GGUCAGCUGACACAUCCCUGCCAAUCUCCAGCAGACCCUCCCUCCCAGACCCUCCUACUUCCUGGACAGCAUCCAUGUUGAAGGCAGCUUCAACAUGGAUGCUGUCCAGGAGGUGGGAGGGCCUGGGAGGGAGGGUCUGCCGGAGAUUGGCAGGGAUGUGUCAGCUG